CAGUAGCCGCGGUAAAACGAAGGGUGCAAGCGUUAAUCGGAAUUACUGGGCGUAAAGCGUGCGUAGGCGGUUUGUUAAGUCUGUUGUGAAAUCCCCGGGCUCAACCUGGGAAUGGCAAUGGAUACUGGCAAGCUAGAGUGUGUCAGAGGAUGGUGGAAUUCCCGGUGUAGCGGUGAAAUGCGUAGAGAUCGGGAGGAACAUCAGUGGCGAAGGCGGCCAUCUGGGACAACACUGACGCUGAGGCACGAAAGCGUGGGGAGCAAACAGGAUUAGAUACCCGAGUAGUCCCUGUCUCUUAUAC
This 301-nucleotide ribosomal RNA is filed under the name uncultured bacterium. Its description in RNAcentral is "partial 16S ribosomal RNA". It matches the Rfam family "Bacterial small subunit ribosomal RNA", at positions 509 to 807 of the family's 1533-position model. The record is from RNAcentral.